Molecule: ribosomal RNA, 254 nt
Filed under: uncultured bacterium
Lineage: Bacteria
Description: partial 16S ribosomal RNA
Rfam family: Bacterial small subunit ribosomal RNA
Source: RNAcentral
UACGUAGGGGGGCAAGCGUUGUCCGGAAUCAUUGGGCGUAAAGCGCGUGUAGGCGGUUCGGUAAGUCGGCUGUGAAAGUCCAGGGCUCAACCCUGGGAUGCCGGUCGAUACUGCCGGACUAGAGUUCGGAAGAGGCGAGUGGAAUUCCCGGUGUAGCGGUGAAAUGCGCAGAUAUCGGGAGGAACACCAAUGGCGAAGGCAGCUCGCUGGGACGUUACUGACGCUGAGACGCGAAAGCGUGGGGAGCAAACAGG